CCCUAGUAACUGCGAGUGAAGCGGGAAAAGCUCAAAUUUAAAAUCUGGUGGUCUUUGGCCAUCCGAGUUGUAAUUUAGAGAAGCGUCUUCCGCGCUGGACCGUGCACAAGUCUCCUGGAAUGGAGCGUCAUAGAGGGUGAGAAUCCCGUCUUUGGCAUGGAUCCCAGGGCUUCUGUGAUGCGCUCUCGACGAGUCGAGUUGUUUGGGAAUGCAGCUCAAAAUGGGUGGUGAACUCCAUCUAAAGCUAAAUAUUGGCGAGAGACCGAUAGCGAACAAGUACCGUGAGGGAAAGAUGAAAAGCACUUUGGAAAGAGAGUGAAACAGUACGUGAAAUUGUUGAAAGGGAAACGCUUGAAGUCAGUCGCGUUGACCGAGACUCAACCUUGCUUUGGCUUGGUGUAUUUCUCGGCUGACGGGUCAGCAUCAAUUUUGACCCUCAGAUAAUGGCAAGGGAAAGGUGGCACCUUUUAGGUGUGUUAUAGUCCCAUGUCGCAUGUGAGGGUUGGGAUUGAGGAACUCAGCAUGCACCUCUGGGUGUCGGGGCUUUGGCCCACGUUACAUGCUUAGGAUGCUGGCGUAAUGGCUUUAAACGACCCG
This 597-nucleotide ribosomal RNA is filed under the name Russula puiggarii. RNAcentral's name for it is "eukaryotic LSU rRNA". It matches the Rfam family "Eukaryotic large subunit ribosomal RNA", at positions 78 to 651 of the family's 3401-position model. Lineage: Eukaryota; Fungi; Basidiomycota; Agaricomycetes; Russulales; Russulaceae. The record is from RNAcentral.